RNAcentral lists this microRNA precursor (108 nucleotides) under Olea europaea subsp. europaea. The stretch from base 10 to 97 matches the Rfam family "mir-156 microRNA precursor family". From Rfam's summary of the family: This family represents the plant microRNA (miRNA) precursor mir-156. Animal miRNAs are transcribed as ~70nt precursors and subsequently processed by the Dicer enzyme to give a ~22nt product. Lineage: Eukaryota; Viridiplantae; Streptophyta; Magnoliopsida; Lamiales; Oleaceae. The record is from RNAcentral.
UUAAGGGAGGUGACAGAAGAGAGUGAGCACAAAUGGUGUUUUCUUGCAUGAUAUAAUCCAUGCUUGAAGCUAUAGGUGCUCACUCUCUAUCUGUCACCCCCACCUCUC